AUCACCGGAAAACUCCAGCCGCCGUCGUGCGAAUCCGGCGACUUCACUCCAUGGCUCGCAAAACGAUUCAUCUCAAAACUGCACACAUAAGAAAAGAGAUCAACAACCGGAUUAAGCAGCAGAAGCAACAGCAGUUUGAUAGAGACGGAAGCUAGAAACCCUAACUCAUCUUUCCCUAUAGGGAAAUGAUGAUCGAUCCAUCUUCACGUUAAUACUAGCGUUUGUCUGUCUGUCUGUCCAGAUCUGACUCACUGGUGUAAUUUUCUGCAUAAUGGCUUUUUACAUGUAUGCGCGCGCGCAGUGUAGAUGGAUAAGGACGAAGAAGAAUUUCUGGCUGAAAUCGGGAGAGAGAGAGAGGUGGAAAGGAUGAGUGACUGACAGAAGAGAGUGAGCACACCGCAGUAAGUGUAUAUUCGAGAUUAUCUAUACCAUUGUGCUGUGUGCUCACUACUCUUCUGUCAGUCUGCUUGCUCGCUAGCUAAUUCUGCCUGCCUGCCUGCCUGCCAUCAUCAUCCUUUUCUGCUUCCCAUCUCUCACGCCUCACGCUACCUCCUUCAUCAAUCUCUGGAUUAUUAUUAGGAAGAUGAUGAUGGUGAUAAGGCAAUGAAGAAGAAAGAAGCGUGACUUUUUAUGCAUCCGUGCUUGGGGAGAGGAACGAUGUGGGUUUGGAAAGGUACGCCUGAUCACUGUGCUGAUUUAACGGAAAAAUUAAAUAAAUCUUCUUCUGCAAAUAUAUUUAUAUAUAUAUAUAUACACACCAUAUCAAGCACUCUCGAUUUCUUUCUUUAUUGAAACUGUUCAUCUCCUUUUCUCUCUCUCUUUCUAUUAGUAGUCUGUCAUCUGGGUUUUUACUUUUUAGUUUCCAUAUUAAUGGUGGUCCAUAUGUAGGCAUAUAUUUAUUCGAUUACAGACUGCUGAUAUGAGAUGUAAGUGAUGAAAGAAAUCAAGUAUGUUUAGCUAGAACUGUCAUGAUUUGCUAAAUUUAUAGAAGCUUGCUUAAUAAACUUUCUUGUAUCUAUUGGGUAAUCAAUCACCACAAGCAGUUGUUGAUGAUGAUCAUUGAUCGAAUUAAUCCAUCUAUUUGAGGAGUUUUUGUGAUAUUGAAAUUAAUCUAUCAUAUUCCAUUUCAUUAAUCUUAUGUUAUACAUCAAAUAAUAGAAUUAGUAGCCAGCAAAAACGCAUCUUAUGUGGUUAAUGUUUCUGGAUUGUUUGAUUUUGCAAUGGAUUCUUCAAUCAGAUCUAAAAUGUCCCAAAUGGAAGAAGAGGGAUUCCCAUUACAGCUCAAGGUUAGCAGAUUCAUUACUCUAGUUCUACCUGUGUAGGCCACAGUGUUUAAAUAUAUACAUCGAAUUUGUUGUCUCUACAAGAGGAAUUUAUUUUAUUUAUUGAAAAAGUACAAGAGUAAAUGAGUUUUUUUAAUUAUUCUCAUCUCUUAAAAGGCUGACUAUCUAACUGUUGCCUGUUAUAACUGUUUGUUUAUUUACCAAUGACUGUGUAUGUUAUUAGACAAUUAAGGAAACAAGUGUUGCAGAUUUAGAAAUUUUAGCAAUUAUCAGACCAACUUUGAACAACAAGGGACUAUUUAUUUAUUUAUUUUUUGCAUUAGCAUGUACUUGUGUAGAUUUUAUUUUUGAAUCUAGGAAACUAGCAUUAACCCCACUUCAAUUUAAACCCGAUAUUUGAUUUCUGCAAACUUUACACUUGAGCUACAUAUUGGGUUCAUGUUUUUAUGUCGUUAUUAUUAGAGGUUUUACAAUAUGGUGAAAUUAUACAAAUGAAGGAGUUUCAUGGAUGCAGUUGGUGUAGUUCUAAGCCACCUAUUAUAUGGUAUGUUGUAUCCUUUUCAUAUAUUUUGAAGAAAAUGAGUCCUUUUUUCGUUCAUCAAGAGGUGGACGUCAGUUGGCAAGAGUUAAUAAAGUACAAACAUAAAUCGUCAAAGUAAAAACUAAAUGCUCCAAAACCUCAAAAGCUUUUUCAUAUGUUAGUUUCUUAUUCUUGAUUAAUCAUUGUCCUUCUCAUAUAUGUCUGGGUCCUUUUGAUUUCUCAAGUUAUUAAUGAUAAUCAAUAACAAUUGUCUUAAGUCAAUCUUGACAAAUAUGAUGAUUUAGAUCUUAAAUUUUGUGAUUUGACACUCCACGGUUUGGCAUCGAUCCUGGUACAAAAUUAUGGGAGAAUUUUACAGAUUUGACGGGACACUGAGACAGCAUUGACCAUUCUAUAAUGAAUUCAUGUUCUUUGAUCUCACUGUGAUUUCUUACCAUGGAAUGAUAUCUCAUCUGGGCAUAUGCAAUAUUUGUAAACCUCUCAAGUCUUAACUAAAAAGAAAACUUCCCCACCGUUAUUCUUCUUCAAAUUUCAAGCUUAUCUUUCUCAAAGUUCGCUAUCAAGCAAUGUGAUGAACAAGUCUUCGUAACUGAUGAUUUGAGCCUCACUAGAGUUAGAGAAAAGGAUAAAAAUGGCUGCCACAAUCGAGAAAAUUGGUGUUUACGCGUAAAACGGAAUGCAAGAGUGAUCGACUCCACAACCACUUCAACCUCAAGGUAACAACUUCUCCUUUCAAUUCCUUACAGAAAUUAG
Long non-coding RNA from Impatiens glandulifera, 2577 nucleotides. RefSeq lists it as uncharacterized. The transcript is spliced from 5 exons. The record is from RefSeq and is a predicted model, not a curated record. Lineage: Eukaryota; Viridiplantae; Streptophyta; Magnoliopsida; Ericales; Balsaminaceae.